UGCCCGCUGGCGGCGUGCCUAAUACAUGCACGUCGAGCGACCAGACGCGGAGCUUGCUCCUCUGACGUUAGCGGCGGACGGGUGAGUAACACGUGGAUAACCUACCUAUAAGACUGGGAUAACUUCGGGAAACCGGAGCUAAUACCGGAUAAUAUAUUGAACCGCAUGGUUCAGUAGUGAAAGACGGUUUUGCUGUCACUUAUAGAUGGAUCCGCGCCGCAUUAGCUAGGUGGUAAGGUAACGGCUUACCAAGGCGACGAUGCGUAGCCGACCUGAGAGGGUGAUCGGCCACACUGGAACUGAGACACGGUCCAGACUCCUACGGGAGGCAGCAGUAGGGAAUCUUCCGCAAUGGGCGAAAGCCUGACGGAGCAACGCCGCGUGAGUGAUGAAGGUCUUCGGAUCGUAAAACUCUGUUAUUAGGGAAGAACAAAUGUGUAAGUAACUAUGCACGUCUUGACGGUACCUAAUCAGAAAGCCACGGCUAACUACGUG
Molecule: ribosomal RNA, 495 nt
Filed under: uncultured bacterium
Lineage: Bacteria
Description: partial 16S ribosomal RNA
Rfam family: Bacterial small subunit ribosomal RNA
Source: RNAcentral